AACGAACGCUGGCGGCAUGCCUAACACAUGCAAGUCGAACGAGACCUUCGGGUCUAGUGGCGCACGGGUGCGUAACGCGUGGGAACCUGCCUUUAGGUUCGGAAUAACUCAGAGAAAUUUGAGCUAAUACCGGAUGAUGUCUUCGGACCAAAGAUUUAUCGCCUUUAGAUGGGCCCGCGUAAGAUUAGCUAGUUGGUGAGGUAAAGGCUCACCAAGGCGACGAUCCUUAGCUGGUCUGAGAGGAUGAUCAGCCACACUGGGACUGAGACACGGCCCAGACUCCUACGGGAGGCAGCAGUGGGAAUAUUGGACAAUGGGCGAAAGCCUGAUCCAGCAAUGCCGCGUGAGUGAUGAAGGCCUUAGGGUUGUAAAGGCUCUUUUACCCGGGAUGAUAAUGACAGUACCGGGAGAAUAAGACUCCGGCGUAACUCCGUGCCAGCAGCCGCGGUAAUGUGUGACUGU
This 462-nucleotide ribosomal RNA is filed under the name uncultured bacterium. RNAcentral's name for it is "bacterial SSU rRNA". It matches the Rfam family "Bacterial small subunit ribosomal RNA", at positions 29 to 534 of the family's 1533-position model. The record is from RNAcentral.